UUCUUCUUCUUUCUUUCUUCUUCUUUCUUCGACCCUUUCCUUUUCUGGUUGAUUUUGGGAGAUGAAGUAUUAUUCUGAGAUCGAGAUAACAAGAGUCCGAUCAUGAAUCAAGAGAUGGUGGAGGUGUCGUUGCUGUUUGAGUUAGGAGGAAGAAGAAUUGAGAAGCCAGUGAGUUAAGGUUUUUUGAAGUUGGGUUGUUUUCUGAGUUUGUGUAGAACGAGGAUGAUAUCGAGUUGUAACAACUGAAGAUUAAGAGGGUUGUUGGUGAAUUGAUGAGAUGAAGCAGUUUUGGCGAAGAAUCACAAAUCAGAAACAUCACAAAAGGGAAGAGUCGGAAAUCUCAAGAUAGUUGAACAAAAUGAUUCACAAAUUGCAAAUAUCAAUCAACAAUUUCAAGAAAAAUUGCGUAAAACAAAGAAUAAUCAAUUUAGGGUACGAUAACCAUGUUUUCUUCAAGUUUUUCAAGCAAGGAGAAGUCUGGACUGUGCAAUUUCCCCCAAGGAAAAUCCAGUUUGAACCAUCAGAGAGUGAUUUAUGUCAAGACAAGUGUGAAACUACACCUUGCGACAAUCUGCCAUGUUCUCAAUUUGAUGAAUUAUCUCUCAAGUUGAACCUUGUGUUAGAACAAGUUCGAGCACUAAGUUGUGAACUAAAUUCCUCUAUGAAGAAGCUUUAGGAGAAGAUAAAACUUGUUGAAUCCAAAUUGGACCUUAUUGAAGAGGAACUUAAUGAAUAUAGAAAUUGUGAGAACAAUAUGGAAUCUCAGAGUAAACUCUUUUGGUUCAUUUUUAUAGGAAACUUCUUGUGAGAAUUUAUUCUUGUGUUCAAGAAGGAUAACUAGGGUUUGGUGUAGCAAA
This is a long non-coding RNA of Papaver somniferum (opium poppy), 857 nucleotides long. RefSeq lists it as uncharacterized. NCBI's taxonomy places the organism in Eukaryota, Viridiplantae, Streptophyta, Magnoliopsida, Ranunculales, Papaveraceae. The transcript is spliced from 3 exons. The record is from RefSeq and is a predicted model, not a curated record.